RNAcentral lists this unclassified non-coding RNA (329 nucleotides) under plant metagenome. RNAcentral describes it as "partial contains 5.8S ribosomal RNA, internal transcribed spacer 2, and large subunit ribosomal RNA". The stretch from base 1 to 105 matches the Rfam family "5.8S ribosomal RNA", at positions 50 to 154 of the family's 154-position model. The record is from RNAcentral.
GAAAUGCGAUAAGUAAUGUGAAUUGCAGAAUUCCGUGAAUCAUCGAAUCUUUGAACGCACAUUGCGCCCUCUGGUAUUCCGGGGGGCAUGCCUGUCCGAGCGUCAUUGCGAACCCCUCAAGCACGGCUUGUGUGAUGGGCCCUCCCGCGUCUUGGUCGUCAAGACGGGCCCGAAAUGCAGUGGCGGCUUCGCGGUUAUCCGAUCAGCCAGAGCGUAUGGGAACUUUCUCUCUGUCACACGCCCGCGGCGCGGACCGACGCCUGUCGACCUUCAUUCAUCGUUUUCUCGGUUGACCUCGGAUCAGGUAGGGAUACCCGCUGAACUUAAGC